This 494-nucleotide ribosomal RNA is filed under the name uncultured bacterium. Its description in RNAcentral is "partial 16S ribosomal RNA". It matches the Rfam family "Bacterial small subunit ribosomal RNA", at positions 28 to 523 of the family's 1533-position model. The record is from RNAcentral.
GAUGAACGCCGGCGGCGUGCCUAACACAUGCAAGUCGAACGGAGCUGCUUUGAUGAAAUUUUCGGAUGGAUUUAAAACAGCUUAGUGGCGGACGGGUGAGUAACGCGUGGGUAACCUGCCUCACACUGGGGGAUAACAGUUAGAAAUAGCUGCUAAUACCGCGUAAGCGCACAGUUCCGCAUGGAACAGUGUGAAAAACUCCGGUGGUGUGAGAUGGACCCGCGUCUGAUUAGCCAGUUGGCGGGGUAACGGCCCACCAAAGCGACGAUCAGUAGCCGGCCUGAGAGGGUGAACGGCCACAUUGGGACUGAGACACGGCCCAAACUCCUACGGGAGGCAGCAGUGGGGAAUAUUGCACAAUGGGGGAAACCCUGAUGCAGCGACGCCGCGUGAGUGAAGAAGUAUUUCGGUAUGUAAAGCUCUAUCAGCAGGGAAGAAAGUGACGGUACCUGAAUAAGAAGCCCCGGCUAACUACGUGCCAGCCGCCGCCGUAA